UCAUGAAUCAAACUAGUCCGUCUCCCCUUGCUAAAUCAAACAUCCAGAGUAUGAAUUGAGUUAUUGGUUGAUCCAAAUUCUAAAUUUCUAAUUCAAGAUCAUCAAACAUAGAAGUAUAUCGAAAGUGUUGGAAGAAAAGUUAGAAAUGAAUCUAGGUUGUUUGGGUUGUUGCUGAAGACUCAGAAGAAAAUGACUCAGAAGAGCAGAAAGAAAAAGAAGAAGAAAAUGACUUAUUUCAUGGAUCUGGAUAAUCGAUAUGAGCAGUCUCGGAAAUGUGAACAUGCUGAUCCAUCAUGAAAUCAAUGGGUGAAAAUGAUCUAUUCUUCCUUUAAGCUAUGCAAUCUGCUACUGUGAAGUAACUGAUGAGAUCUGCAAUGUACUUUCCGAUCUCAGUAUCAAGAGUAGAAGCCAAGCACAGCAUUGGCAGGAGAAACUUCCCGCGAUGCAAAGCUGAAAUAGGUACAGUAUCAAGAGUAGAAGCCACCAGAAAGCCAAGCACAACAUUGGCAGGAGAAACUUCCCGCGAUGCAAAGCUGAAAUACUUGCAGCUCUGAUUAUGGGAUGUUCAGGAAGAAUCCAGUGCAACGGCUUAGUAUCUUAGAAUUGGAUGUUUUACAUUGGGUCUCGGCCGUGCCGUUGUUUAACAGUAUUCAAAGGAUACAUGGGAUUAGAAGUGCAUGUAGAGUGGAGUCUAGAGUCUGUAUACAUCUUUUGUGUCUGGUGUGCCUGCAACUAGAGUCAUGGGAAGAAAAAACAACAACAACACUUUACUAUAUAGGAUCUCUUGGAUGAACACCAGGAUUUUUUCCAUUUCCGUAUUUCUACUGGCUACUGUUAAGAUUGUAGCAAUGAAGUUACUAGCUUUUGUACUUCUAUUGGUAGGAUUCUUUGCUCCCAGUAACUGUGUAUUGUACUUACGGAGCAUUUAGGAGAAGCCUUUGACAUACUGAACUAUUUCGGGAUCUGUAAAGUUAACUUCAUUCUUUUGUUUCCAA
Long non-coding RNA from Papaver somniferum (opium poppy), 995 nucleotides. RefSeq lists it as uncharacterized. The transcript is spliced from 6 exons. Lineage: Eukaryota; Viridiplantae; Streptophyta; Magnoliopsida; Ranunculales; Papaveraceae. The record is from RefSeq and is a predicted model, not a curated record.